This 277-nucleotide ribosomal RNA is filed under the name uncultured bacterium. RNAcentral describes it as "partial 16S ribosomal RNA". It matches the Rfam family "Bacterial small subunit ribosomal RNA", at positions 28 to 286 of the family's 1533-position model. The record is from RNAcentral.
GACGAACGCUGGCGGCGCACCUAAGACAUGCAAGUCGGACGGUCCCUUCGGGCGCUUCGGCGCGCGGGGGGAUAGUGGCGGACGGGUGAGUAACACGUACGGGACCUGCCCCCCCGUGGGGGAUAGCCCCGGGAAACCGGGGGUAAGACCGCAUCCGCCCCCCGGCGUAGGGGCCGGGGGGGAAAUGCCCGCCUGUGGAGGGGGGCAGCGGGGGGAGGGGCGUGCGGCGGAUUAGCUAGUUGGCGGGGUAGGGGCCCACCAAGGCGACGAUCCGUAG